GAUGAACGCUGGCGGCGUGCCUAAUACAUGCAAGUCGAGCGAACAGACGAUGAGCUUUCUCCUCUGACGUUAGCGGCGGACGGGUGAGUAACACGUGGAUAACCUACCUAUUAUUCUUGGAUAACUUCGUGAAACCGCAUCUAAUACCGGAUAACAUGUUUAACCGCAUUGUUCAACAGUUAAUGACGGUUUUUCUGUCUCUUAUAGCUGCAUCCGCGCUGCAUUAGCUAGUUGGUAAGGUAACGGCUUACCAAGGCAACGAUGCGUAGCCGACCUGAGAGGGUGAUCGGCCACACUGGAACUGAGACACGGUCCAGACUCCUACGGGAGGAAGCAGUAGGGAAUAUUGCGCAAUGGGCGAAAGCCUGACGGAGCAACGCCGCGUGAGUGAAGAAGGUCUUCGGAUCGUAAAACUCUGUUAUUAGGGAAGAAAAAAAGUGUAAGUAAAUAUGCACGUGUUGACGGUACCGAAAGAGAAAGCAACGGCUAACUACGUG
RNAcentral lists this ribosomal RNA (497 nucleotides) under uncultured bacterium. RNAcentral's name for it is "partial 16S ribosomal RNA". It matches the Rfam family "Bacterial small subunit ribosomal RNA", at positions 28 to 507 of the family's 1533-position model. The record is from RNAcentral.